Molecule: ribosomal RNA, 497 nt
Filed under: uncultured bacterium
Lineage: Bacteria
Description: partial 16S ribosomal RNA
Rfam family: Bacterial small subunit ribosomal RNA
Source: RNAcentral
GACGAACGCUGGCGGCGUGCCUAAUACAUGCAAGUUGAGCGAUGAAGAUUGGUGCUUGCACCAAUUUGAAGAGCAGCGAACGGGUGAGUAACGCGUGGGGAAUCUGCCUUUGAGCGGGGGACAACAUUUGGAAACGAAUGCUAAUACCGCAUAACAACUUUAAACAUAAGUUUUAAGUUUGAAAGAUGCAAUUGCAUCACUCAAAGAUGAUCCCGCGUUGUAUUAGCUAGUUGGUGAGGUAAAGGCUCACCAAGGCGAUGAUACAUAGCCGACCUGAGAGGGUGAUCGGCAACAUUGGGACUGAGACACGGCCCAAACUCCUACGGGAGGCAGCAGUAGGGAAUCUUCGGCAAUGGACGAAAGUCUGACCGAGCAACGCCGCGUGAAUGAAGAAGGUUGUCGGAUCGUAAAACUCUGUUGGUAGAGAAGAACGUUGGUGAGAGUGGAAAGCUCAUCAAGUGACGGUAACUACACAGAAAGGGACGGCUAACUACGUG